This is a long non-coding RNA of Gadus morhua (Atlantic cod), 2849 nucleotides long. RefSeq lists it as uncharacterized. NCBI's taxonomy places the organism in Eukaryota, Metazoa, Chordata, Actinopteri, Gadiformes, Gadidae. The record is from RefSeq and is a predicted model, not a curated record. The transcript is spliced from 4 exons.
CUUAGGGGGUGUUCACACAGGCAGUUUUUUUUUCAGGUGCGGGUGGAUGUUUUACAUUAUAUUCCUAUGAUACAGGGUGUUUUUGUAAAAACAUCCUGGGUGCUUUUAAAAACACCGCUGCCAGCGGGUUUUUUUCACUGCUCUGGGUGGUUUUCAAGUUGGGAUAAAUUCAACUCGCCAAGAAAAAGCACCCGACGUCAGGUAGUUUUUUGACAGCUGACCAAUGAACGAGAACCUACGUCACUAGGAAAAACGUUGGAAAUUCAAGAAUGGCGACCCAAACCAAGACGUCUUUCCCGACGGAGCAACUUGUUGUUCUUGUCAGUGAACAUGUUGAGUUGUAUGACAUGACCAACAAAUUAUACCACAACAUUUAUCACAAGGAGAGUAUCUGGAGGACGAUCGGUGGGAUUUUGGGACAUAAGUACUACAUUGGAUGACACAAUCAGUAGUCAACCUGGGUCUGGUUCUUUAAAUGGCAGUUCAUCAAGGCCCCCACCCCAUUCAUCUAGGCCCCCACCCUCUCCAUCUCCACCCCCACAACCACCUCAACAAGAACAGCAGCAGGAAUUCGGGCCCAUGAGAGUACAAAGAGGGAGGAAGAGGCAGGCCACUGCGACCAUAACCCCCUACCAGCAACAGGUCCUCAGUGCCCUUGCGAAAGAGGAGAAUGAGCAUGAGCGUUUCCUAUUGAGCUUUGCACCCACACUGGCAAGGUUGGAGCCUCGCAAACAGGCAUUGCUAAAGUGUAGAAUGCAGUCCCUGUUUUAUGACAUCGAGUUUGGAGAAUAAAUGAAAUUAUUAAAUUAAAUUAUUACAUUUAAACACAAACAUCUGCUUUGUACCUCUUUCUUUACAUUAGAUAUUCUGAAGGAGAUUUAACAUUUUAUCUUGUUUUAGCACUACAAUACCCACUUUGAUAUACAUAGGAGCCACACAAUUUCUAUUAGGUAUAAAAAAUAAAUGUAAACUUAUGUCAGCUUUAUCGUUCAUGGGUGUGGUACUGCUUCCAAGAUUCAGAGAAAACUUCAACUUCACCACAUCAUCUGGUGUUUGCUGGUGAUGAAAUGGAAUAGCUUUUAAGCAGAAGCUUUGGGUAGCUCUUAAAAGAGCUGUUGGUUUGGUUGGUUCUUUUAAGGCCUAUGUAACGGACCUAUUAUGUAUCCACCUGUAUUGCGCCCCGGAACCUUUUGUUUACGUCUCACCCGGUACCCUUUUAGAGGCGCACAGCAGCAUUCACGGCGAUGCGUGUUUCGCGCGUAGUCGCGUCGAAGACCGUAUGAAGCAAGCUAACGGCUGACCCAUGAAUGUCCGGUGAAUGCAACUUUUCCCUCUCAAUUUACCCUCGUCUUGCACCCUUGGCAAGCGGAGCGAGAUGUUAUCCUGCCAGGGAACUCGUCCAGCUUCAGACAUGAAGUACUGAGCAAACUUCUCCCUCACUGCCACAGCAUCUCUGCCAGCAUUGUUGGUGCCAAGGCGAGGUGCGUUCUGGAGACCUUGUGAUGGCGCAGCUGUGGAUGUUCCAGUAGAUGACCUAGCCGGUAUUGUAGUGCUGGCAUCCCACCUGAGAAAGUUAUGGAGCAUGCAGGUGGCCUUUACCACAUUCUCUGCCACUUCUGGAGAGACACACAGCACCCGACGGUACACUCUCCAUUGGGAUGCCAGUAUGCCAAACGCACACUCGACCAUUCUGCGCACGUGAGAGAGACGGGUGUUAAACACUUUUUUUUCUCCAGUGUUGUAGCCAGGGUAUGGGCGCAUGAUGUUACGGCGCAAGGGGAAGGCUUCGUCUGCCAGAAACACAUGAGGCAUCGGGCCAAGAUGUUCUGCCCCUGGGAGGAUGGAGUCAUCCGGGAUACCCAAUGUGUUCUGCCGUAGGGCAGUACCAAAAGCGGAGGAGGAGAGGGUUCCCCCAUCACUGUUUCUUCCAUAGGCCCCGAUGUCAACAAGCCUGAAACAGUACCUGGCGUCGACUACAGCCAGAAGGACGAUGGAAAAAGUGCCUUUGUAAUUGUAAUAAAGAGUGCCACUGGAGGGAGGAGCCUCAAUGACUACGUGUUUCCCAUCCAUUGCCCCUAUGCAGUUGGGGAAAUCCAGCUGUUGGAAUCCAGUGGCUAUCUUUCUCCACGCUGCUUUGUCUGGAAUAGGCAUGUAAUCUGGCAGGAGGCAAUCCCAAAUAGCUGUGCAGACCUGAUGAACUAUGCCUGCCACAGUGCUGGCACCCAUCCUGAAGGCGAAAGCGAUGGACCGGAAUGAAUCGCCAGUUGCCAGAUACCUGCCCAAAGAGUGAUAUUUAGUUUAGUCUGAAACAAUUGAGCAAGCAUGCAUACACCUGUUGAUCUUGAUUGUAGCCGUUAGCAGUUAGAUAGCAGUUUCUAUUUCAUUUGCAGGCCUGACAGUCAGGUACGUAAUGCUAGCAGUCUACAUCCUGUCCAGCGAAGGACGCUAUACAUAUAAAAUAGGCCUACUCUGAGCACCUUUAAAACAAGACUGAAGACUUUUAUGUUUGCUUUAGCUUUCUGCUAAAUCUUAAAUACAUUGCACUUUCUAAAAAGCUUUUUUAAAUUUGCCUUUAUAUUCUAUUUAAUACUAAAAUGCCUUUUUAACUUUCUAUUUUACCCAUUUCUUCUUCUAUGACAAUGUUUAUAUGUGAAGCACUUGAGUCUGCCUUGUGUAUGAAAAGUGCUAUAUAAAUAAAGUUGCCUUGCCUUGCCUACGUAUGCUGAAAAGGUGAGAACAAGCUCUGCAACACCAAAGAGUAUGGGAGGCAAGACAACAUAGCUUACAUUAGACCUGUUGCUAGGUAACCUACUACCUGCUUGUUACUAGUAAUAAAAUAAGCUACGAGA